This 578-nucleotide ribosomal RNA is filed under the name fungal sp. SNB-LAP1-7-68. RNAcentral's name for it is "eukaryotic LSU rRNA". It matches the Rfam family "Eukaryotic large subunit ribosomal RNA", at positions 68 to 671 of the family's 3401-position model. Lineage: Eukaryota; Fungi. The record is from RNAcentral.
ACGAGGACAAUCCCUAGUACGGCGAGUGAAGCGGGAACAGCUCAAAUUUGAAAUCUGGCCCUCGGGUCCGAAUUGUAAUUUGCAGAGGAUGCUUUUGGUUAGGUACCUUCCGAGUUCCCUGGAACGGGACGCCUUAGAGGGUGAGAGCCCCGUACGGUUGGAUGCCGAGCCUCUGUAAAGCUCCUUCGACGAGUCGAGUAGUUUGGGAAUGCUGCUCUAAAUGGGAGGUAAAUUUCUUCUAAAGCUAAAUACCGGCCAGAGACCGAUAGCGCACAAGUAGAGUGAUCGAAAGAUGAAAAGCACUUUGAAAAGAGGGUUAAAUAGCACGUGAAAUUGUUGAAAGGGAAGCGUUUAUGACCAGACUUUCUCCAGGCGGAUCAUCCGGUGUUCUCACCGGUGCACUUCGCCUGGUUGAGGCCAGCAUCGGUUUCCGUAGAGGGAUAAAAGCUUUGGGGAUGUGGUUCCUCCGGGAAUGUUAUAACCUACUGCAUAAUACCUCUAUGGGGACCGAGGUUCGCGCUCUGCAAGGAUGCUGGCGUAAUGGUCAUCAACGACCCGUCUUGAACAACGGACCAAAA